Molecule: non-coding RNA, 1825 nt
Organism: Macaca mulatta (Rhesus monkey)
Lineage: Eukaryota; Metazoa; Chordata; Mammalia; Primates; Cercopithecidae
Source: RefSeq, a predicted model, not a curated record
AGGAGACAAAGUUUUGCUGUGUUGCCCAUGAUGGUCUCAAAUUCCUGAGCUCGAGAGAUCCUCCCACCUCAACAUCCCAAGGUGCUGAGAUUUCAGGCAUGAGCCACUGGGUCCCACUCUGCUAUCCUAUUUUAAGGCCUUGCAGAAACCAGGAUAUGUUAUGGGAAUGAAAGCUCCUUGAGGGAAGGGCCCUCAGUGCUGCUCUGACCCCAGCACCUACAACAGUGCCUGGCUCAUAGUAGGUGCUCAGUAAAUAUCUGUUGAAUGGAUUAAUUCAUUAUCCAUUAAUAGAUACCCAUUAAUUCAUUAUCCAUUACCUGUAAAGUUGCCCUUCCAAUCCUGUCCUCUCUGAUUCUAGGUGUCUGUGAAUAAGGAAUGGCUGGGAAAGCAUGUGAGAAAACCACACUCUCCCUCAGCCUAUUAUAGUUUAAAAAGUACUUUCUUGUCCAUAAAAACAAAACAAAAAAAAUAAUAACUAACUUCGUUUUAACUCUCUGUGUUAGUGUUGGGCCCCAUGCUACAUGCUGGGUACACGUUUUCUCACGUGCUCACCACCACAACCCUCUACUUAAUAGGUACUUGUUUAAUACAUGAGGACACAGAGGCCAGGAGAACCCAAGAAUCUCUGCAAGGCUACACAGCAAGAAAAGGCCAGAUCAGUGGUCGAGAGGCAGGCAGGAAUUGCCAUCCUAGUUGUACAAUUAGAGAAACCGAGACUCAGAGAAAGAAGAUGAGUUGUCCAAGCCCAAAGUCAUGUAAUAAACAGCAAGCAGUUACAUCACUCUUACUAUAUACCAGGUGCUGUCCUAAGUGUUUUUCAUACAUUAAUCAUUAAAUCCUGAAAACUGAUCAUAUUAUCACCACCCCAGUUUUCAGAUGGAGAAACUUGUAGCACAGAGUUCAGUACCCCACCAAGAUUGCACAGUUAGCAAGUAGCAGAACCAGAAUUCAAACCAGGGAGGUCUAGCUCACCCCGUUAAGGGGUGGUCUGUGUUACACCAUUUGUUUGUACAGCAAGCCUGGAACAGGCUGGUAUAAGAAGGUAGGUGUCUUUGUCUCCAGCCCUGCUGCCUGCGCUAGGGGCAAGACAGAGAACAAAAGCAGAUUGACAGUAUCCUCAGCUGCCAGCUGGGACUUUCCACCUUGAAGGGAGGAUACUGUUAUGGAAAAAAUGAUAAAGCUCUGGGAAGAUGGAUGUCUCCCCAGGGGCCGCCAAGCCUCCUCAGAGUCCCUCCCCUUGCUGUGGGGAGGGCCACAAACUGUGCUGGCCUGGUCCAGAUGAGACAAAGGCCACCUGGAUCCCAAGACACCCAGCCAGGCUGCUCAAAUACUGAGGAUCAUUGGCCUUGGUGGAAAGUUCCAAUUUCUCAUCCCAGGAAUGAAGCUUCUGCUCAGGGACCCCCGAGGAAUCAGGUUAGGGCUGGAGCUCCCUGUCCUUGAAGAUGGGAAAUAUACAUCUCAUAGGGCCCGCUCCCUCCUUUCUUCAUUCAGCAAACAUGGACAAGGAUGUGGGCUCUGAAGGAAGGUAGAGAAUGUAGAGAGGAUCACAGCUGGUGGGUACAGGAACUUCCAAGUCCCUGCCCUGGCCACGAAGGGAAAGGGAGGGUAAAAGAGGGGUAGAAGUAGUGAAAAAAUCACCUACAACUGCUUUGUAACGGCUAAGAAUCCCUCAGGUCUGUCAUGACCAUAUGACCUUAGGCAAAUCAAAAUAUACAGAGUGAAGGGGUUAGCAUAGAAUUCUCUAUGUAAUUGUCUCUGUCUCCAGAAUAUUUAAAUAUUGUAGUUCAACAGCUUGAAAAAAUAUACAAGUUCAGUUUCAAUUUGA